Helianthus annuus (common sunflower) is the source of this 1662-nucleotide long non-coding RNA. RefSeq lists it as uncharacterized. Lineage: Eukaryota; Viridiplantae; Streptophyta; Magnoliopsida; Asterales; Asteraceae. The transcript is spliced from 4 exons. The record is from RefSeq and is a predicted model, not a curated record.
CUCCUUCUCUAUAGUUUUUCCCCAAUUUCUUAGGUUAUUUUUCAUUUAUAAACAAGUUAAAUGCCUAAGUACCCAUUAAGAAUUUUUAUCAAAACAAAACCCUAAAUCGCUCUCUCUCAUUUCACAGCCGACGCCCCACAAAUUCCGCUGUCCAAUUUCUAUCCACCAUGAGUUGCAUCGACGACGGAGUUUUGUUCAGCAGUUUGGAGCUCUACUCUACAACGAUAUGAAGUUGCACUCUACAAUGAAAAACAUACAAACACUAAUAUGUAGAAGUGGACUAUACUACUUUCAUAAAAAGCGGAAUCUCGAGCACACAAUGGUGGGAUCCACCCUAUAUGUGGUGCAGUUUGGGGUGAUCUGGAAGAGGUCAAAGAUUCAAUGAUGGACACUAUGAGGAGAGUAUAAGUAGAAUUGAUGCAAAUGGUGGAGUUUAGGGGUUACUUAAUAAUGUGGUCCACCUACCAUAGUGGUAUAGGUAUAGGUAUAGGUCCUAUGCAUGAAAAGGAUGUUUCGAAAGCGUGAUGCUAGAAAAGCAGAGAGAGUUUGCAACAAUAUUAGCUUGUGAUGUAGAAGUGACACCAGACCGAUAAAUACCCGGUGGGUUUUGAACAGUAAGAGUCAAAUCCCAAACACCUACUUAGGGUUUUAUUCAAAUCCUCUGUCUGAUUGCUUUGAUACAACGCGAAACCCUAAGGUGAAAUCCUAUUAAACAAGAUUUGUUCGAUGCUUUUGACUCUUCUUCCUCAUUGAUGCAACGUGAUAAAUGAAAUUCUAACUCAACUCGAAUAUUUCAUUUAUCGCAUUAGGAAGAAGAGUCAGAAGCACCGGACAGGAUUUCAUGUAAGGGUUUGGUGUUGUAUCAAAGCGGAAAAAGAAUCAGACAAAGGAUGACGUUGGGGGUCUGGAGGAUAAGUUUAGGGGUCUGGGUUUGUCGAGAAAGUGCAACAACGUUCUUGAACCUCCACAUGAACAAGAAGAACUAGCUAGUAAGUUUACGGUAUUGGAAGUAUUGACGUUGAAGUGGUUAAUGGACUCCUUCAAGAAGGAGACGAGAUUGUUGUCUAUGGGUUUCAUGGACCAACUCUCAAUAUUGACUCUCGAAGCAAAGAAAGAAAAACGUUUACUGUCUUCUUAGGUCACACAAGAGUUUGGACUGUAGAAAAAUUCAGAAUUACUGCACAGUUGAUGUCAAUUUACAUAAAUAUAGGUAAAUAUUUACCCUUGUUUUUGUAAUUGACCCGUAACAUCUUAUUUUUUCGAGCUGAAUCUCGAGCACACAGUGGUGGGGUCCACCCUAUAUGUGGUGCGGUUUGGGGAUGAUCUGGAAGAGGUCAAAGAUUCGAUGAUGAAGACUAUGAGGAGAGUAAUAAGUAGAAUUGAUGCAAAUGGUGGAGUUUAGGGGUUACUUAAUAAUGUGGUCCACCUACCUGUUAGUGGUAUUGGUAUAGGUCCUGUGCAUGAAAAGGAUGUUUCGAAAGCUGGUUUGAUGCUAGAAAAGCAGAGAGAGUUUGCGGCAAUAUUAGCUUGUGAUGUAGAAUUGACACCAGACCGAUAGAUACCCGGCGGAUUUCGAGCUUCCGUUAUAUGGUGUUUCGUUCUCAUUUAUUCGUCUUUAUAUGUACUAUUGAUUUCUCCGUUACCGGGCAACUUUUUGGCUCA